GCCCAUACAAAUGUAUUGUUAUAUAUAAUAGGAAACAUAUGCAGUACAAUCAUAUUAUUAUUAUUACUGGCAUUUAUAAAGCGCCAACAAAUUCCGCAGCGUUGUACAAUUGGGAAAAAGACAAACACAAUAAGAACAGACUGAUACAACUGGUAGAGGACCCUGAUCGUAGAUAUAUUAUUACACUUGUAAUAUGCAUAUGCAAUACAACUAUUAAAUUAGCAACAGGUGCAGUUACGUUUUAAUUUAAGUUAGGUGGAUGUCAUUUUUAGGGUCUUCAGACUGGUGGCAAAUGUGUUAUUCUGGGACAGGUUAUUCCAUGUAUAUAGAAAUAUAUAGGAGAAAACGUUGGUCACCCACCCAUUGUAGAUGGUGGAUGCAAAGUAUGGAACCAGAAGUAAAAUGAAGGUCAGAAGGUGGACAGGCAGCAUGGGAGACUUCUCAGAGAAGUGGCUAUGACCCAGACAAAAAAAAAGGUGAAGUUAGCAAAUUUAGUUGUUUAACAAAUUACAACGAUGGAUACUGUAGUUAUGUGAAAGAAAAUAAAAUAUUACCCGUAACAUUGUCUAAGUAACUAUUUUUAAUGGAUAUGUAUAAGUUAACUCUCAAGUGUAUCUUGUGGCUUACUGUUGCUUGCUGACUGAGUGGUGCUAUCAGAAGACCAUGCAAAGUUAGAAUAUAUGAAUCUGUAAAAUAGUCCAUUUGUUUUAAAUAGCCUAUGAUUGUGCAUGAUGUCAAGGUUUGUUACUAGCUCUUGAUAACCAGGCUAGUUUUUGGUCGAUUACAUGGGUUUUAUGACCCAAAAAGGACUUAGAGAUUGCUAUCUGCCAACGGUAAGGGUACAGCAAGAAAUGUAGUGAAAAGUAAGUACCCUAUAUACUCGAGUAUAAGUCGAGCCGAAUAUAAGUCCAGACCCCUACUUUUACCCCAAAAAACUGGGAAAACGUAUUGACUCAAGUAUAAGACUAGGGUGGGAAAUGCAGCAGCUACUGGUAAAUUUCUAAAUAAAGUUAUAUCAAUUAAAUAUUUAUUUACAGUGUAUGUAUAUAAUGAAUGCAGUGUGUGUGUGUGUGUGUGUGAUGCAGAGCCUUGGUGGGGGGUGGGCAUUUUUAUUAUUUU
Molecule: long non-coding RNA, 1119 nt
Filed under: Pelobates cultripes (western spadefoot toad)
Lineage: Eukaryota; Metazoa; Chordata; Amphibia; Anura; Pelobatidae
Source: RNAcentral